Molecule: long non-coding RNA, 1139 nt
Filed under: Takifugu rubripes (torafugu)
Lineage: Eukaryota; Metazoa; Chordata; Actinopteri; Tetraodontiformes; Tetraodontidae
Description: lncRNA (ENSTRUG00000031749.1)
Source: RNAcentral
GGACACCUCUUCUCCCCCCCCCCCCCCCACCGAGACCUCUGUCCAUCAUCCGGGCUUUGCUGUUUCCUUCUCUUUGAUCUCAUCUGUUCCUCUCACAGGCUGGUGGCUGCUUGGAGACUUCUCAGGAUUCAUCCUGUUUCUGGCAGAAAAUUAAUUCUUUCAUGUUUUCAUGUUUUAUGUUCUGAGCAGCGUCGGGAGCAGGAACGUGUUCUCCUGCCGAAGUCUCCUCUUAAAAGGAGAGGGACCGCUCCGAUCCAGGUCCGGCUCAGAUCAGGAGGUUCUGGACCCGCUCCGAUCCUGGUCCGGCUCAGAUCAGGAGGUUCUGGACUCGCUCCAGACCAGCCCGGUUCUCAUCAUCCUGGUCUCUGCUCUCUGACUGUAUCUGCUGCGGUUCUCUGGUCCUGCACGGAUCCACGCACAAGCUGCGCCUCACGCCGACUCUCGCUUGUAACUAGGUAACAGAUAAGGCUGCAGCACGAGGGCAACGAGGAGGGGUGUGUGUGUGUGUGUGUGUGUGUGCGCGCGUGUGCAUGUGUGUGUGCGUGCGUGCGUGUGUGUGUGUGUGAGAGAGAGCUGCAGAGCUAAAGGAAAUCUAUACCUGGGCAGCGUCAGUGAUCUGUCCUGCUGGUGGACUUGUGAACUUCUGGGCUUCAUGAACUUCAUGAGAACGCAGGUUCAGUCAGACACUUGGGGAUGUUACACACCUGCUCUGUGGGGGGUCCAGAACCCCUCAGAUGGUUCUGUGACGGUCUUUCAGAAAGAGCUGUGCUGGUUCUGUGUGGCUGCUGAGGGACACUCCCUGGAAGGGUUCUGAUGCAUCGCAUCAGAACCAGAGAAGCUUUCAGACCCACCAGAGUGAUGGGGGGGUCUGGAGGAGGGAGGUCCUCCAAGACUCUGAGCUGUGGACGCAGGAGGACAGCUGUCCUCUCAGCUGAGGGACAAACCUCUCAAACUGUUCAGUCCAGAUGUAUCGAUCGCACCGACCGUCAAUAACUUAUCUCCUGUUUUUAGCUCCUCUGGGAAUCACAGAGUUCCUCUGAGGAGCUGUAAACACCCUGGUUACCGUGGCAACCGUCCAUCUGCUGCUGCGUAACACACUGGUUAUACUGGGACAGAAACUGUUGGUGCCACCCCCCCCC